RNAcentral lists this long non-coding RNA (358 nucleotides) under Nicotiana benthamiana. RNAcentral describes it as "long non-coding RNA (NBEN_LNC012958)". The record is from RNAcentral. Lineage: Eukaryota; Viridiplantae; Streptophyta; Magnoliopsida; Solanales; Solanaceae.
AAAUAAUUAAGUGCGUUAAAUAAACAAAGGGAAAGAAUGCACCGAUGUAUUCUCGUUCACCACAACACGUGGCUAGUCCAGUCCCCGAGAGACUCUCUCGAGAUUUUUCACUAACUUGUCAAGCUUAUGGGUGCUCAACAAACCUUUGCAACUUGAGGACACAAGCCUCAACACCUUUGCUCGGAGAUACAACACUCCAAGACUUCAACCAAGGAAGCACAAGUUCCAAACCUUUACAACUUAAGGACACAAGCCUUAACACCUUUGCUCGGAGAUACAACACUCCAAGACUUCAACCAAGAAAACACCAGUUCCUUACAACAAGAGAAUUACAAUUCUCUUACAAGUGUAUAAAACA